This 471-nucleotide long non-coding RNA is filed under the name Equus caballus (horse). RNAcentral's name for it is "lncRNA (ENSECAG00000052150.1)". The record is from RNAcentral. Lineage: Eukaryota; Metazoa; Chordata; Mammalia; Perissodactyla; Equidae.
GUUGAACCCAUUCCUCCUUUUGGAAUUCCUCUUACCUCCCUACCCCCCCGGACAGAAGUUGACAGAGGUUUUUUUUGGCUGAAAUCUUCAUCUGGGUGCUUUUCAGGGAGAAGUAGCAGAAUGUGGCAAUGAGGACUCAAACCAGUGAGCUCAUGGGAAUGAAGAUGAGAAGAAAAAUGAAAGGGGGCACUGUGAUUGCGUGAACACAGGAAAUAAAGGCAAAGACAAAUAAGAUUUGAUGUAAUUUAUCCGUUAUGCAAUAGUCUAGAUUGCAGUCAGAAAAUUUACUUUUAGCUUAAGGAAAAGUUUGAAGAAAUUUCAAAAUAUAUGCUAUUUCUAAGUCAAAUAUGCAAAACACAAUUUUUAAAUUUACCAUGUUUCUUAAUUUUUUUUUAAAGAUUUUAUUUUUCCUUUUUCUCCCCAACACCCCCCGGUACACAGUUAUAUAUUCUUAAUUGUGUGUCCUUCUAG